ACUCAUUUGGCAGCUAUCAACGGAGUAUUCACAGUACGCUGCUCACAGUUCUAACCGCGGAGGAUAGAGUUGAGGCCCACACGACAGCCCCUGCUCUCACAGAACUGAUGUCUCUAGAAGAGUCUUCCCUCAGUGAGAACGUUCUGAUUUCUAGAACAUUCUUUCUUCUGAUGAGUGAACAGCCUCACCGGAACUUCCCCAUCCUCCUGGCUUGGUUCCUGAAGUGGCCCAAGGCUGCCUUCUCCCUCCCGUGGGUGAACAGGGUCACUGCUUCCUCUCUUGUCCAGGCCCCCUGGCCUGACCCUGAGUCCCGGGCGUAACGGCGUUGUUGAACCACCACAACCCCAGGCGGCGCCUUCCUCUUGGCCCAGGGGCUCUCUUGGGGACAGUGUGCAGUACUCCCCAAGGGGGCUUUGCUGUGCAAAAGCAGCCCCUGCCGAUGCUGCGGCUCCCGUGGAUGGAGCACUGCCGUGGGAACAGAGUUGGAACUCAUCCAAAAGAAUAAAAGACAACUGUGUUGGAAGAUUGCCAAGGUUUGUAGCUGUGCCACCGCAGACUUCAGAGAUGAACACUGCCUUGGAGACGAGGAGGAUUCAAGUUGCAGAAGCAUUUAGAAACCUCAAACUUGAGACACGGUGGGAAAUCAGGAAGACAUGAGGCUUUGCUCAACACUGGAGAACACCAGUUCUUUUCAGUUUGUAUGCAUCUUUAUCAGAAACAGAUGUUGUUUUUGGUGAUGUAAGUUACCAGGGUUGGGGGUCUGAUCUGGAGGAACUGGGAGGUGAGUUCCAGCCCCUUCCCUCAGUUUCUCAUCAUUGUGGAGCAGUCUUGCCCUCUUCCUUCGAUCAAGCUUCAAAGCUUCAUGGCAACCACAUUUAAUGUUUAUUGCUAAUGUUAUUAGUUUCUAAUCAGAGCCUACUGCGAUUAUUACCUAAUAGCUAUUGCUUUGCACUUCCAACCAGAUGUCAAAAAUAAUGAGCCAAUAAGACUGCUAUUAAUUUAGACUGAAUGACAGUUUUAGGCCCUCGGAGCUGAAGAUUAGGGGCCUCAUAAAAGCAGGGCACAAAUAAUUCGAGUGCUCAAAAGUAAUAGCAAAAAUGGUGAGAAUGUGAAUUAAUAGGUAAGUGUUUCUAAUUUACAAAUGAAACAUGCAGCUUGAAAUAUCAACACUUCUCCUGCAUUCUCCUGCGAUGAAUGGAGCAGUCCUCAUGGAUCCCAGCCUCCAGGAUUUGGGUAGAAUGGCUCAGAAAGUUUGCUGUCUAUAGGAAGAAGAGAUGAUAUUAGCAUAGAUCUGUUUACCUGGUCCUAUUUGGUUCCAGUGAGAGAAUGGGGCCAGGUCAGCAAGUGCCUAGAAGAGACCUUCUCCCGGCAUCAAGCGUUCCAUGAAACGUGUGUCCAUUUUGCUGACAGGCUCUGGUGCAUUCUGAUUGACUUCCAGAUGCCUUUCCUGACAUGCACCCCAUUGUAGAUGAUUAUCCUCCUUCUAACUCAUGGAUGCUGUCAUCCUGUACACCAUUGGGUAUGGGAUGCUUGGGUUCAAAUCUUAAUUGCAUUAUGCUCUGAGGGUGUGACCUUGAGCAAGGUGUCCAUCAUCUCUGAAUCUUAGCUCCCUCCCCUUUUAAGGUGUCCAUAUCAAUAGCACGUAACUUGUAGGAUUACCACUGAUCAUUGGAAGAAAUAGCAGAUACAAGGAUCUCAGCACAGUGCCUGUCACACCAAUGAACUGGAGAAAUUGUCACUGUUGCUUAAACACUAGGGCUCUGUUUCUCCUUCACCUUGAUCAUUUAUUCCCUCUGUUUAUUCAUGCCUUUAGGUACCUAUUUAUCAAAGCAGGAGAAAAAUUUUAAAAAGUUCAUUUCUUUUCUUCCUCCAGUCCUCAUAUAUUAAUCUGUAGACCCAAGCCUGUUUCAUUUCACUUUGUUCUACCAUUUUAAAGACAAACAUUGUCCAAAGGCAUGCUAUGGCUCCUUUUGGUAUAUAUUUGUUUACCAUGGUCCUGUUUGGUUCCAGUGAGAGAAUGGGACCAGGUCAGCAAGUGCCUGGAAGAGGAGACCGUCUCCCAGCAUCACGCAUUUCUCCAUGAAAUGUGUCUCCAUUUUGCUGACAGGCUCUGGUGCAUUCUGAUUGACCUCCAGAUGCACCAGAGCCUGUCAUAUAAGGGGAUGGGGUACGGAGGCGGAGACCCAGUCUGUGCUACAAUACCUUUAGUGUCUGGUGGGUGUCAUGGAGGAAAGAGGUCCCCGAGUGUAAGGGUGGGGUGAGCAGGGAGCAGUAAGGCUGCAGAAGGAGAUGGUGUCCCGUCUGGCCUGAGAAGAUGUUGUUGGAGAGACAAGCUAAUUGCUCUCAAAUGGCUACCUUUUCCACUAGGCACACAGAUACACUCCAGGAUGGAAUGCAGGCAGAAAUCAUGACCUCCAUCCACCUUUAACUUUCCAAGGCCUGGCCCAUAAACCCUCCCUGUCAGGCUUCCUGGUACCUCUUCCCUGGCUGCUAGCUGGAUGCUGAGGCCCUGGGGUGCUGAGCCACUGGUGGAGUGAAGCCUGGGCCUGAAAGGCUGGGUGAAACAGAAGUCAUGGGAUGGGCAGAAGAUGCUGAUCUAGGCUGAUACCUGGCAAACCCUACCUUGUCCUGCCCCUGACACUGCAGAUCUGAGGACGCGCUGGGGGAGCCGAGCAUCCAGGUCAGUGAGUGGAGGGAAUUUUUGUCCAACGUGCACCUUGACAGAGCUUCACUGACCACGGGCGGUGUCUCCCUGCUGCCACGCAGCACACCUCUGACCACAGACCUCUCUCCAGAGCCACGUGUUUGCUUCUCACCUGACAGGCUCUGUGAGAGCCCAUCUGUGCUUCCCUGGGAUGUCUGACCGCACGCAUCCCCCACUGUGCAUGGGAGCCCUGCUGGGCCCUAACCUUCAUCACCCCCAAGUGGAUGGUCUCCAUUUUCCAAGCUGGCAGCUCACCCCCUCUCUCUGUGCCUCUGCUGCUGCGGUCCACACACCUGGAAUGCCCUCUGCACCCUGCACACGGCAUCCCCCCUCCUUCAAGCAUCGGUCAGAGGCCCCAUCCUCCUACCAGCUCCCUGAUCGCUCCAGUCUGGUGCAUUCAUUGUGUAUCAUUUCUCGCAGGCCCCUGGGUACAAUAGCUGUUUGUAUCCAUUGGUUAUUAAUCUGGGGGGAAUGGCGGCAAAUUUAUCUUAUAGUCCCACAGGUAAACUUUCUGAACCUCUGGUUUUGUCUGUAGAAUUGGUAUAGCCAUUCCUUCAAAAUAGGUGUUUGAAGAAUAUUCAAUAUUAAAACUAACUAUUUAUAAGUAUGUAAAGCUCCUAACAGAGUAUCUGACACAUAGUAGUAAACACACAAUUAUUGUCUAUAGCAGGUGCAGCCAUUUUCAAACGAAGGAAAAGAGGAAGGAAAGAAGGAAGGCAGAAAAAAGGAAGGAAGAAUGGAAAGAAUGGGGGGAGGGAGGAAAGGAGGAAGGCAGGAAGGAAGGGUGAGAAGAAGGAAGGAGGGAAGGGUAAGAAAGCUAAUUUUCUAGAACUUCCUUAACUGUGCCCCUCCCUGCUGUCAGACCCCCAUGGCUUUACCCAUACUCUGGGUUUUCAUGAACACACGGGCAUGUGCUCAACACCUUCUCCUUCCAGCUCCAGAUGCUUUCCUGCAGGUCUCUACCUCAGCUGGCCUCUUUGCAGGAAAUUAACGGCGUCUCCUACCUUCUGGCUCCCAGUUGCGCUGGGCCAGUGGGGCAUAUCGAAAGGAGAGAGAGAGACAGGGCAUUUAUUCUUGGCUUCUUCCCUGUGUGGUUGCCCAGGCUGGCUGUUCCUGACUGAAGGCCUCCUGGCCUGAUGGAGCUGUCUUUCCUCUUCCAGUGGCUGCUCUUGCCCCUCUUCAGGUGAAGAACAUGCUGGUUUCAGGUUGUGACUCACCCCGAGGGGCUUGUGGAUUCCUUAUUCCCAGCUCACAACGUUGUAGCCCUUUAUUAAACACCCCUAACACGUUCCAGAUAGUCUUCCUUCCAAGACCCCAAGGAACACACUCCAUACACGCCUUGUGCUUCAAAUCUCAGAAUCACUGUGUCAAGCAAGAGAAGCCACCCAGGAAACAUAUGUGGGUGAAGUCAAGAACAGGCAGGACCGACCUACUGUGAUGGAAGUCAGAACACUGGAGGUUCAGUUUUGGAUUGGAGUUGACUUGAGGAAACUUUCUGAGGUUUGGAAAUGCUCUGUAUCCUGUUGAGGGUGGUGGUUGUGUGAGUAUAUGCAAUGGUCAAAACUCAUUGAACCCAUACACACGUUUUAUGGUAUCUAAAUGAUACCCCAAUAAGAAGUAAAUACAUAAGAUUACAAAGGAAAAUAACUGUGUUAAAAUAAGAUUAUUAAGAUGUCCAAUACAAAGAAGAUCCUCGUAGUUCCUCAACACACACAGCAACACACGCAUCAGAAUCCUAGGCUCCAGAACCCCAGAGAUGCACUGUCUGGAUGGACCUCUAACAAAGCAACCCCUGAAGGUGCAGCACCCAUCUUGCCGCCCAGGCAAUGCCUCUUCCAAAGGAAUGUACAACUCUUAGAAACAGGGACAUGGUCCCUGGCACAAUCCUAAGCACAGAGUAGGUACCUAAAGCUUGAAACCAAAAGUCAGCCCUCACUUAACAAAUGGAUGAAGAGUCAAAUAGAUUCUUAUUCUGAGCUAGGCAGCAGGUUAGCUACUAGAAGAGCCUAGUCUUCAGUUUUUAAAUUUAAUCUCGUAAACUCAGAAGACUCGUUGGCUCUUGGAGGUUUAGAUGAAUCUGGCUCACCUCUCAACCCCAGGGGUUCAAAGCUUGUGAAAAAUGCUUUGUUUCUCCAGAGAUGCCCCUGUCUCUACUCCCUUGGCUGUGACUGUCAUCUCACUACUACCUCCAUGAUAAUCUGGGCUCAGAUAUCUGCCAUUUGGGUGAGAAAAUCUGCUCCAGCCAAGCAAUGUGUGCUGAGUGGCUUCAUGAAGGACAUUAGGGUGUCAUGGUGCAGGGUUGCCGCUGACUGUCUGAUUAUCAUCAGCCUCCAGUGUGCUCCCUGCAUGCCUGCUUGCAGUCCACUGACUCCUUUAACUUAAAUCCCAGUGGGUGACCUUCUAUACCCUAAGCAUUCACUUGGGAAAUGGAAACUAUUCAUUCUUCUUCUUCUUUUUUUUUUUUUUUUUUUUUUGAGACAAAGUCUCGCUCUGUAGCCCAAGCUGGAGUGCAGUGGCUCGAUCUUGGCUCACUGCAACCUCUGCCUCCCCGGUCCUAGUUCAAGCAAUUCUCCUGCCUCAGCCUCCCAAAUGGCUGGGAUUAUAGGCAUGCGUCACCAUGCCCAGCUAAUUUUUGUAUUUUUAGUAGAGAUGGAGUUACAUCAUGUUGGCCAGGCUGGUCUUGAACUCCUGACCUCAUGAUCCACUUGCCUCAGCCUCCCAAAGUGCUGGGAUUACAGACGUGAGCCACCACACCCAGCCAAAACUAUUCCUUCUACUUUCUCCCAACACAGUGGCCUCUUUCCGACUUUUUUUGAGUUUUUUUCAGGGAUCAACCAAGCUAGGCAAUUUUGCCUUUUAUACAAUCUCCUGAAAUUCUAGUGAAUAACUUUUUUUUUUUCUCAUCUUCCGAUAUCUUGUGAUGGUCCCAAUGCAGAUGAUCUGUCCAGGGGAUGGAUGAGGAAAAGACAAGAAAUGAUGCCCAACUGUGGCCUCCAGACUGACCUCCCCUGACACUGCUUACUCCAUAGGUGAUGGGCAGUACGCUCUUAUGAGACUUUAUUUGAGGAUCUGUUUCCAUGGUACAGGCUAGGUAGGGGACAUAUCUUGUCCCUUCUAUACAGGGCUUCUCAGUCAGGCUGGGCUACUCGUGGUCAGCAGAAGUUUUCAGGCAACUGGGAUACAGAAAGAGCUGAGUGAGGGUGUGAAGAUGGCGAGGAGGGCCAUGGAAGUUCCAGGCUGAGGCUUUGGCAACUCCUUCCACCCUCAGAGCCAGGGUUUACAGGUUUGCCCAUCCAUUUCUGACCCUUCUUCCAGGAGCUAGGAUUGGAAAGGAGUACCUGUACUAACUGGCUUUUCUUCAUUCUCUGACCUCAGUUUCUGGAAUUCUUUUUGGUGCAAUUUGCCCCAAGUUGUCCAUCAAGAGUUGAAGGCAAAAUAAAUGGAGGGCAGUUCAUCUCCCCAAAUCUUUGAGGAAUAUUGUAUUUCUUGCCUUUUCUCCACAGUACUUGGGCUCUAAUGGGUCGCAUGUAAUAGCUGCCUGUAGGGUCACACAUGCACCGGGGGAUGGGUGCAGUGUCUCUUCAGAGCCUCUGGCUUGCUCUGAAGAUCCCUUCUGACUGGAAUGGGAAACCUAACAAUUAUUUCUCCCUGUUGGGAGUUCAGGCUUCUCCAUAAGCUUUGGCUCUGGGGAUGUAAGCUGAACCUUCCAGACCUCUGAGAGGCUUGUCUCCUGGGGACAGCAGAUGACCAUCACCUUCCAUCUGUCUUCCUAAAUGAGCAAGAAUCAGCAAUUCUUGCAUGGGCUUAGUUUCUCUAGGGAUGUCUUGCUGGCAGUUGUUUUCUCAUCACCUUGCUCCAGUGGGACCUGGUCUUCCAAAUUGCAAGCAGGAGGAGUUGGCAUGCAGCUUACUGCCAAAAUCUCAGGAUGUUUUACACCUCGAGGUCUCUUCUUCUUCCUGGUGCUGUGUACUCAGAAACCUGCCACAUAGAUCACAACACUGUGCACAUUCCUGAAUGCUUGUGUGCUGUUGGAUAUUGUUGCCUGGAGACAGGGAGAGUUAUGACUUUUUGACCUUGUAUAAUUUUCAAUUCUGGACCAUGCAAUUUUUCUAUUUAUCACCAUUGCUUCUCCACGUCUGAGGCCUGACUCCUUGGGAACAUUUCAGCAGCUCAGAAUCCUCCUCUUCAAUCUGGCUGUGCCUUCUCGCAGAUGCCAUAUGUUGGCUCACAUCCAUGUGGCUGUGGCCAGUGGAUCCCAGCUUGCCUGGCAGUUACUCCUUAGGAGGAUACCAGGCUCUGGGGAGUCUGCCCCAGCAGGUGAAUCAGGAGAAAGGCCCUUCUCAAUGAUCAAAGUUUUUUGUUCCUUUUUCAGGAUUGUGUGUCACUUAAGAAGCUGCAGUAAUCACCCAUGGCCAGGAUUUCCUCUGGUUGGUGGGUUGAUGAGUUUAUUCCUUGUCAUGCAAUGCCCUGGCUAAGACACCACAGAAUGCUUUGUAUGUGUUGCUCUCUCUACCUGCCUGACCUGUGUGUUACUCCACACAUUUCCAUGUGAACCUCAGGGUUCUGUCAACCCUCUCCCCUGGCCCAAGCAACAACAUGGCCAGUGCAGAAACAGUCAUCUUUCUUCCUUGAGCUGUAGGUUCCCUGGUCUCAUAGUCAAGAUGAGGGUGGACUUAGACCCACUAUUAGACUCAAAAUACUGCAUUUUGCAUUGGGGGCCAGUUUAUCUGCUGGUCCAGUGUUCUGGGGCUGCUCAGAUGUCACUUGGGGCUGCUUUAGAUCCCGAAUAUUUAGGGAAACAUGGCUCAAGCCUUCAGUCUCAUGGACUAUAUGAGCCCAGAGCUCUCCCCACAAUUCCUGUGAAUUCUAACCUUGGGUCCUCAGGGUCCCAUGUGGACCCCUUUGCCAAUGGGAUGCAAAUUUCUGCUGGUUCACAGAUUUCCUCUAAAAAUUUUACUGAAAGCUUAUCUUCUGCCACUUCUGUGCUUUUUGUUGGCUUAUUUGUUUCGUUUUUUGUUUUUAUUUUUUUAGUAAAAAAUAGGCACUAUAGGCAGGUCAGCUUUCCAUAUUUUCCUUUUCCCAAUUAUGAUGAAUAUAGUUUUAUUUAUUUAAUUAGCUAAGUAUUUUUAUGUUGGACUUUGCAGCAGCCUCAAGUAUUAUUUCAGACUUGGCAGGCAGCAUUUCCUGCACAGGUAGGUGUGAAUUUAUAAGCAAGGAGGUUGGAGGUUAGUGGUGAUUAUUUAACACUAUUUGGCUUAACAGAUGUAAUCUAAAUAUAGAUAAAUGAGAAAAAUGAGAGUUAAAACACCUAUUUCCGCCAUUUGAACCAGCAAUCCCGUUACUGGGUAUAUACCCAAAGGAUUAUAAAUCAUUCUACUAUAAGACACAUACACAUAUAUGUUUAUUACAGCAGUGUUCACAAUAGCAAAGACUUGGAACCAACCCAAAUGCCCAUCAGUGAUAGACAAGGUAAAGAAAAUGUGGCACAUAUACACCAUGGAACCAUAAAAAGGGAUGAGUUCAUGUCCUUUUCAGGGACAUUGAUGAAUCUGGAAACCAUCAUUCUCAGCAAAGUUAACACAGGAACAGAAAACCAAACACUGCAUGUUCUCACUUACAAGUGGGAGUUGAACAAUGAGAACACGUGGACACAGGGAGGGGAACAUUACAUACCGGGACCUGUCGGGGGAUGAGGGGCUAAGGGAGGGAGAGCAUUAGGGGAAAUACCUAAUUUAGAUGAUGGGUUGAUGGGUGCAGCAAACCACCAUGGCACGUGUAUACCUAUGUAACAAACCUGCACAUUCUGCACAUGUAUCCCAGAACUUAAAGUAUAAUUCAAAAUAAAAAAGAAAAACAAAAAACACCUAUUUCCAUAUUUAUGUAUGUUUCCUCAAAAAGUACAAUGGCUUUUUUUCCCUCUACUUCUCAAACUUAUUUUUAUUAAAACCAUUGCAUUCUUAUUAUUAAGUAUUUACUCUAUGUGUAUUUUAAAUAAGACUUAUAAUUGGAUUAAAUAAAUAGUAUGUAGUAAGUUGCAAUUGUGACUUUGUUCAAAUUUCCAGAUAUUUUAAAUCACCACUUAAUGCAAUCCUGGCUCUAACAUUGAGGCAUAAGUAUAUUUCACACACAUUUCUUAUUCUAGGGGUUAGACUGCUUUCUAGGCAAUGUUCUUUCCAAAUAUUCAGCCUUUCUGAAGACUGGAUGUGAUUCUUUUUAAUUUUUUUUAAGAUGGAGUUGCACUCUUGUUGCCCAGGCUGGAAUACAAUGGCAUGAUCUCGGCUCACCACAACCUCUGCCUCCCAGGUUCAAGCAAUUCUCCUGUCUCAGCCUUCCAAGUAGCUUGGAUUACAGGCACAUGCCACCACACCUGGCUAAUUUUUGUAUUUUUCUUUUAGUAGAGACGGCGUUUCAUCAUAUUGGUCAGGCUGGCCUUGAACUCCUGACCUCAGGUGAUCUGCCCACCUUGGCCUCCCAAAGUGCUGGGAUUACAGGCAUGAGCCACCACACCCGGCCGGAUGUGAUUCUUUAUAGGAAUUUUCGCUGGAAAACUUUUUAUUUAACUGCUUAACCUGAAUAAAAUAAUAAUAAUGAUGAUAAUGAUAAUAAUUUCAGCCAGGUGUGGUGGCAUAUGCCUGUAUGCCAGAUAGUCUGGAGACUGAGGUGAGAAGAUCAUUUGAGCCCGGGAGUCCAAGUCCAGCCUGGGUAACAUAGCCAGAUUCUGUCUCUAAAAAAUAUAAUAAAAUAAACACAAAUUUUGCUUCUUUGACUCUUUCCAUGAGACUUAGAAGAAAAUAUAUGCAUAGCUUUCUGUUCCUUUCCUAGCCAACAGAACACCUCCUUCACAGUUUUGUGAUUAAAGAACAUGAUGUCCACCAUAUUUUUAAGUGAUAAUCUGCUCGUGUUUAAUGGUCUAUUGCUGCCUUUAUCUCUAUUUCUCUAUAGAUGCAUUUUUCAAACGUAAGAUGUCCAUACCAUUUUGUCUUGUUUACUCACUUAUCCUAAACAUAUUCCAGUGUUUCUCCAGAGUCUUCAAUAAAUGUAAUUAUUAACACCCAUAAUCUACCAUUCUAGCUGCAUUUACAACAAUCAAAACUUUUAUUUUCCCUUUAACAUCUAUAAAUGCAUUUGCACAAAAAGCUGCUCUUAGCCUGUGGUUUUAGGUGAGCUGCCUGGGUUGGGCUCCUGACUUUGCUUCACACUGGCUCUGACUUUGCAGAAGUUACUCACCACCCUAGUGUUCUCAUCUGUAGAAUGCUGGUAAUAAUAGUGCCUUCUUCAUUGGACUGGCUUGGGGAUCAAAUGUGUAAUUACUUUGAAUGCCUUUGGAUCAGGGUCUGGCACAGACUAACCCCUCAAUAAAUGUCGACUAUCACUGUUUUCCCAUGCUUACUUUUAUUUUUGCAAAUGUCUACACUGGAAAUCAUCACUAGUUCCCCAGGCUGCCUGUGUAUCUGUGUAGGUUGUGCAACACAUACUCUUAAUUCUUUUCACUCUUCACCGUUUGUGGAGAAUCCCCUGGAAACUCUACUUUCUGAUUUAAGUGGGUUUCCAGGUAGAGUAAAUUAAAGCAUCUUGGUGUGGAGGCCACCUGGCCACCUUGCCUUAAUUAUAGAAGUAACAAUAGCAUUCCCUAAGAAGACAGCUGCUGCUUCUGAAAAUUUAGGUGACAUGUGCCUUGUGGAACAUGCUUUGUGUGACAAGAAGCGAUUUAAUUUCUUUGCAGGUAGACACAAACAAAGAGGCAACAAAGAAAUUAGAAGGUUGUAUAAGAAGCUGCAUAGAAUCACAAUGACUGCGUUGUCCUGAAACCAACCCAGGUGACUUUCUGAAUAAGUUGGUGCUCAAUUAAUUUACUGUUAACUAGUACUCCUAUAGCUAGCUACAUUGCUUUCUAGUUCCA
This 10604-nucleotide long non-coding RNA is filed under the name Homo sapiens (human). RNAcentral's name for it is "non-protein coding lnc-TSN-14:4". Lineage: Eukaryota; Metazoa; Chordata; Mammalia; Primates; Hominidae. The record is from RNAcentral.